GUCCAGACUGCAGUUCUUGGGUCUCCUUCUGGUGUGGUUUGCAGCAGAGAGACGAGUAGAGAUGUGGGGAAGAAGACAGCAAGAGUGAGGAAGAAAAAUUGUCAGAACAGGGCUGCUCUCUCAGGGAGAUGCUUGACCUUCAUAUGAAACACUAUAUGAAUAUUCGGAGAGUCGACAGGUCCAUGUCCACUGUUUCCAACAGUUACGAGUUGUCUGCAGGUAAACUGCUCUGUAUGAGGGUAAAAGAUGGAGUAACUGACAGUGAGGUCCCAGGGUCCUUCUAUUAAAACUGAAGUACAUCUGUAACCGAUCUGAAUUCAUAUCUUAUCUCCUUGCCAUUACACAGUGACCUGUGGCCACUAAACUUUCUCAAAAUCUGAUAGGGACCCUGACACACUAAAUCCCCUUAGCUAUUGCAAAAAGAAGGGAGAAUUUCAGCAAAAGCUCCAUUUUAUCUUUCAGCGAAGAUUUAGACCACCAGUGUGUGUUUUUUUUUCUCUUUUGCUUGUUUCUUUGUUUUUUUACAGUGUAGAUGCAGGAUACAGUUAAGCUCAUAGUGUGUACACUGCUGGGUUCACAAUUGCAUCCAUAUGGGGAAUGGACCAUUAUCAGGCUUGAGACCAGAAUGAAGUGUGAGAAAGGUGAUUCUGCUUGCUGUACAUUAAAGUAGAUGGAUGGUUGUGUUAUGGUUGUGUUAAUUCGUAUGAUCAGGUAUUACGCAGCUGCCAACGGGAUAGAAAGAAAUACAUUUAAUGAGGGGAUGUUUUCAGGGGAAAAAGUUGCUGCCAACCAUUUACCAUGUCAGACUAAUACUGAA
Molecule: long non-coding RNA, 817 nt
Organism: Seriola aureovittata
Lineage: Eukaryota; Metazoa; Chordata; Actinopteri; Carangiformes; Carangidae
Exons: 3
Source: RefSeq, a predicted model, not a curated record